Molecule: long non-coding RNA, 695 nt
Filed under: Chrysemys picta bellii (western painted turtle)
Lineage: Eukaryota; Metazoa; Chordata; Testudines; Emydidae
Description: lncRNA (ENSCPBG00000007814.1)
Source: RNAcentral
AGACAUUUUCUGAAUCAAUUUGUAUUUAGCUUACUAUAUUUAAAAAACAAUCCUGCCCCCUUCUAAACAGAAGCCAGCAGCCCCCGCUCCCAAUGGGAAAGGUGUGUUAUUAAAAGUUAUGGUUUAAAAAAAAUCUGCCCUUCAGUUGUCCUAUUUUCUCUGGAAGAGAUGUAACAGGUAAAAUGCCGCAGUCGUUGGAGAUCAGAUAGGAGUAAAUGGGAUGAAUAAAUAAUAUUUCACCCUUAGCUAAGAAUAUUUUUGCUUUUUGAUAGAAUCAGAAAUUUGGGAUUUACACCCCCCUACACUCGUGUGUUACAAAGUUUGUCAUUCACUGGUUGGCUCAUAAUCAAUGCUGUCAAGUGAUAUGAAAAGUAUUGGGAAGAGGGAAUAAGAAGUGAGCUGCAUCCACAGAGGUGUGUGUGAUAAAAGGCUCCGCUUGCACACCAGGAUCCAGGAAUUCCCAAAAGAAAUUUUUUGUUCAGAAAAGCAGAGCGGGAGUACAGUGCACUCAGCUUCAUUGGAAACUGUCUCCACCUUCAACUAAAAAGGAAGAUGGGGAUAUAAUUCACCUGACACACUUGAAGCAGCUGUCAUUUGGCUAGCUGACAGAGAGACAAGACAAUAGGGUAAGUAGAACCUAUUGUUUUGUUACUAUAGACUGUUUGUUUAUUUUUCCUUGUCCUCUGGCUAAAUAA